Molecule: ribosomal RNA, 497 nt
Filed under: uncultured bacterium
Lineage: Bacteria
Description: partial 16S ribosomal RNA
Rfam family: Bacterial small subunit ribosomal RNA
Source: RNAcentral
GAUGAACGCUGGCGGCGUGCCUAAUACAUGCAAGUCGAGCGAACAGACGAGGCGCUUGCUCCUCUGACGUUAGCGGCGGACGUGUGAGUAACACGUGGAUAACCUACCUAUAAGACUGGGAUAACUUCGGGAAACCGGAGCUAAUACCGGAUAAUAUAUUGAACCGCAUGGUUCAAUAGAGAAAUACGGUUUUUCUGUCACUUAUAGAGAGAUCCCCGCCGCAUUAGCUAGUUGGGGAGGUAACGGCUUACCAAGGGGACGAUGCGUGGCCGACGGGAGAGAGUGAUCGGCCACACGGGAACUGAGACAGCGUCAAGACUCCUACGGGAGGCAGCAGUAGGGAAUCGUACGCAACGGGCGAAAGCCUGACGGAGCAACGGCGCGUGAGUGAUGAAGGUCUUCGGAUCGUAAAACUCUGUUAUGAGGGAAGAACAAAUGUGUAAGUAACUAUGCACGUCUUGACGGUACCUAAUCAGAAAGCCACGGCUAACUACGUG